Long non-coding RNA from Suricata suricatta (meerkat), 423 nucleotides. RefSeq lists it as uncharacterized. The record is from RefSeq and is a predicted model, not a curated record. NCBI's taxonomy places the organism in Eukaryota, Metazoa, Chordata, Mammalia, Carnivora, Herpestidae. The transcript has 2 exons.
GUUGGAUGCUUAACCAGCUGAGCCCCCCAGGCGCCCCGUUAUCUGACGUUUUGAUUCCAGGCCUCUAGGGGGUUAGGACACGGAACCAAACCAAUCUCCCUCUGAUUUGCCUGCAAGACCUGUGCAAGUAGGUAAGUCCGUGCCUUCCCAAGGACCACGGUGUCUGUCAUAGUUCCUGUCUUCCUUACUGUUGUACGACUAAGAGCUGUUACAGCGUGGGACAGGCAUCUGAGCAGAAUGGGGCUGCGGGCCCUGUGGGCACUGACUCAACACAGACGCUGCAACCUUGUGCCUAAGGUGAAUGGGUCAUACUGCAUAUUCUCGAAUGUGACACCCGCAUAAGGCCUUGGUGGCACCUUGUCUAAUUACAUCUUGGUAAAAAGGACCGAUUUCUAUUAAAACUAUGCAAAUAACUAAAUUUUA